GAUGAACGCUGGCGGCGUGCUUAACACAUGCAAGUCGAACGAAGAUGCCGGAGUGCUUGCACUUUGGCAGACUGAGUGGCGGACGGGUGAGUAACGCGUGGGUAACCUGCCUUAUACAGGGGGAUAACAGUUGGAAACGACUGCUAAUACCGCAUAAGCGCACGGUAUCGCAUGAUACAGUGUGAAAAACUCCGGUGGUAUAAGAUGGACCCGCGUCUGAUUAGCUUGUUGGUGAGGUAACGGCCCACCAAGGCGACGAUCAGUAGCCGGCCUGAGAGGGCACCGGCACAUUGGGACUGAGACACGGCCCCAAAAUCCUACGGGAGGCAGCAGUGGGGAAUAUUGCACAAUGGGGGGAAACCCUGAUGCAGCGACGCCGCGUGAAGGA
RNAcentral lists this ribosomal RNA (388 nucleotides) under uncultured bacterium. RNAcentral describes it as "bacterial SSU rRNA". It matches the Rfam family "Bacterial small subunit ribosomal RNA", at positions 28 to 408 of the family's 1533-position model. The record is from RNAcentral.